AAUAAGACCAUUUUUAAGUUUUUUCAUAUAAUAUUUUAACUCUUCGUUUUAUUGAAAUUUUUUUGCGAUUAAUAAUUUUAUUCUUUCUAGAUGAUAAAACAUGAAUAAUAUUUUAUAUGUGACUAUUUUUUUAAGUUCUUGUAAAAAUUUUUCAAAUAAGACGAAUGGUCAAACAUUGGACACGAAAAAACA
Molecule: microRNA precursor, 192 nt
Filed under: Oryza brachyantha (malo sina)
Lineage: Eukaryota; Viridiplantae; Streptophyta; Magnoliopsida; Poales; Poaceae
Description: MIR812 microRNA precursor family
Rfam family: MIR812 microRNA precursor family
Source: Rfam by way of RNAcentral